Daktulosphaira vitifoliae (grape phylloxera) is the source of this 401-nucleotide long non-coding RNA. RefSeq lists it as uncharacterized. Lineage: Eukaryota; Metazoa; Arthropoda; Insecta; Hemiptera; Phylloxeridae. The record is from RefSeq and is a predicted model, not a curated record. The transcript has 3 exons.
UUCUAAGUAGCAACAGACGUAUUGAGGGGCUUCAACUCCAAUCAAAUACUGUCAAACAAAAAUUCAUCAAUAUUUCUUUAAUUCCAUUAACUCCAAAAUUUACGACAUUGAGAUUAAUCACUAUUUAAUUUUCAUGAUUAAGGUUAUGAUAUGCAUAAUCUAAACAGUACCUUUUUUUAACAGGGAAUUAUAUUUUCAACAACAGAAAUAAUCAAAGGAACAACAGAUCCAACAUCAGGAAUAAUCAAAUUAAAUCAUAUAUUUAACACUUUGUCAAUAAAAAAUUUACCAAGAUCAAUAGAUUUAAUUCAUAUUUGUAUUGCUAACUCAGACUUAGAUCCAACAAUUGAAUUUAAUGAAGAAAAAAUCAAUCCAUUUUUAACUAAAUUGAGAGGUGAUAU